ACUGGUGAGUAACACGUGAACAACCUGCCCUUACAUUCCGGAUAGCCGGCCGAAAGGCCGGAUAAUACGGGCGAGGAUCUUUUUAAGGCAUCUUAGAAAGAAGGAAGGCGCAAGCCGUGCAAGGAGGGGUUCGCGGACUAUCAGGUAGUUGGUGAGGUAACGGCUCACCAAGCCGACGACGGAUAGCUGGUCUGAGAGGAUGGUCAGCCACACUGGGACUGAGACACUGCCCAGACUCCUACGGGAGGCUGCAGUCGAGAAUCUUGGACAAUGUACGAAAGUAUGAUCCAGCGACGCCGCGUGGAGGAUGAAGGAGCUAUGCUUCGUAAACUCCUUUUAUGAGGGAAGAAGAUCUGACGGUACCUCAUGAAUAAGCCACGGCUAACUACGUGCCAGCAGCCGCGGUAAUACGUAGGUGGCAAGCGUUGUCCGGAAUUACUGGGCGUAAAGGGUGUGUAGGCGGACGUUUAAGUAGAAAGUGAAAGGUUGGAGCUCAACUCCAACAUUGCUUCCUAUACUGGAUGUCUUGAGUUUCGGAGAGGAAGAUGGAACGACACGUGUAGCGGUGAAAUGCGUUGA
This 579-nucleotide ribosomal RNA is filed under the name uncultured bacterium. Its description in RNAcentral is "bacterial SSU rRNA". It matches the Rfam family "Bacterial small subunit ribosomal RNA", at positions 102 to 694 of the family's 1533-position model. The record is from RNAcentral.